GAUGAACGCUGGCGGCGUGCCUAACACAUGCAAGUCGAACGGACUUACAUUGAAGCCUAGCGAUAUGUAAGUUAGUGGCGGACGGGUGAGUAACGCGUGGGUAACCUGCCUUGUACUGGGGGACAACAGUUGGAAACGACUGCUAAUACCGCAUAAGCGCACAGCUUCGCAUGGAGCAGUGUGAAAAACUCCGGUGGUACAAGAUGGACCCGCGUCUGAUUAGCUGGUUGGUGAGGUAACGGCCCACCAAGGCGACGAUCAGUAGCCGGCCUGAGAGGGUGAACGGCCACAUUGGGACUGAGACACGGCCCAAACUCCUACGGGAGGCAGCAGUGGGGAAUAUUGCACAAUGGGGGAAACCCUGAUGCAGCAACGCCGCGUGAGUGAAGAAGUAUUUCGGUAUGUAAAGCUCUAUCAGCAGGAAAGAAAAUGACGGUAC
This 439-nucleotide ribosomal RNA is filed under the name uncultured bacterium. RNAcentral describes it as "bacterial SSU rRNA". It matches the Rfam family "Bacterial small subunit ribosomal RNA", at positions 28 to 478 of the family's 1533-position model. The record is from RNAcentral.